AUGCAAAUAGCUAAACAAGAUCAGAAGAAUUUGAAAAAUUUGCCAAAACCCCAGUCUCAUACCAGAUUCGCUACAUGGGCAAGAAGAUAUGUGAUACUUACAUUAAUUCCUACAAGAAUCUGAAAGUGAAGCUCCACUGGCAGGAGAGCAGAGCGGAGCGGCAGAGGAGGAGAGAAGAGAAGCAGCUGGAGAAAAGCAGCUUGACUUCAGAGGGAUGGCUUGAUGGCAGGACUUCAGAGAAGAGUUUGGCCAGGCAUGGCCAAACUCCAGGGGAAGAUUAUCUGCUCACUCCAUCCCUCUCCAGCUCCCCUUCCCACUGAGAGCCACUUCCAUCUCUCAAUAAAAUUAUCCGCAUACACCACCCUUCAACUGGUUCUUGUGACCUGAUUCUUCCUGGAUGACAGACAAGAACUUGAGUACCAAGAGGGAAGAGUAUAAAAGGCUGUGACCCUCACCCUCCACUGAGGUGGUGAACACUUAGCCAUCUGCGAACAGCAAACGCUAAAAGAGCACUGAUUGUAACACAUGCCCUCUGGGGCUCUGGGGGUCACAGACACCCCCUCCCGGAAGGCAGAGCUAAAAGAGCAUUGUAACAUGCUUGGACUCUGCCGCGAGGCCUGCUCAAAGCUUGAUCCUACCAGAGAGGAGUGACCAGAUGGUUCCAGCAUUUGUUCGCCCCGGCUCCUGCACCUGCUCACCUGUGUGCUUCCGCUUCUUGAGGGGUUCAGAGCUUUGGGCUGAG
This 742-nucleotide long non-coding RNA is filed under the name Homo sapiens (human). RNAcentral describes it as "HSALNT0369132". Lineage: Eukaryota; Metazoa; Chordata; Mammalia; Primates; Hominidae. The record is from RNAcentral.